This is a small nucleolar RNA of Nymphaea colorata (pocket water lily), 153 nucleotides long. RefSeq annotates it as small nucleolar RNA snoR134. The transcript has a single exon. NCBI's taxonomy places the organism in Eukaryota, Viridiplantae, Streptophyta, Magnoliopsida, Nymphaeales, Nymphaeaceae. The record is from RefSeq and is a predicted model, not a curated record.
AUGCACGAGCAAACCCCGGGCUCCUCUGAAAUAUCUUGUGACGAAGGCAGCCCCAUUGCUAUGUGCUAGAUCGAGCUGUGCCGAGUGUUGCAGAUCAACCGAUUUGUACAUCUUUUUCCACGGUUGAUCUGUGUCAAAGCUGCACCCACAACU